AUUGAACGCUGGCGGCAUGCCUUACACAUGCAAGUCGAACGGCAGCGGACCUUCGGGUGCCGGCGAGUGGCGAACGGGUGAGUAAUAUAUCGGAACGUACCUUUCAGUGGGGGAUAACGUAGCGAAAGUUACGCUAAUACCGCAUAUUCUGUGAGCAGGAAAGCAGGGGAUCGCAAGACCUUGCGCUGAUUGAGCGGCCGAUAUCAGAUUAGCUAGUUGGUGAGGUAAAGGCUCACCAAGGCGACGAUCUGCAGCGGGUCUGAGAGGAUGAUCCGCCACACUGGAACUGAGACACGGUCCAGACUCCUACGGGAGGCAGCAGUGGGGAAUUUUGGACAAUGGGCGCAAGCCUGAUCCAGCCAUGCCGCGUGAGUGAAGAAGGCCU
RNAcentral lists this ribosomal RNA (385 nucleotides) under uncultured bacterium. Its description in RNAcentral is "bacterial SSU rRNA". It matches the Rfam family "Bacterial small subunit ribosomal RNA", at positions 30 to 417 of the family's 1533-position model. The record is from RNAcentral.